Long non-coding RNA from Episyrphus balteatus (marmalade hoverfly), 627 nucleotides. RefSeq lists it as uncharacterized. The transcript is spliced from 3 exons. NCBI's taxonomy places the organism in Eukaryota, Metazoa, Arthropoda, Insecta, Diptera, Syrphidae. The record is from RefSeq and is a predicted model, not a curated record.
GUAUUGCUAUAUAAAACAAAACCAUUCAAUUCUUCGGAGAGAAAAGAUCUCAUAUGUUUGAUAGUAGACUUCGCUUUAUUUAACGAAAUUUCACUUGGUACAAAAGAAAUUAAUUCAUUAGCAGAUCAAGUCAUCAAAAUUUUUCCGUUUGAAGCUAAGGUCUUAAACGAAUUCUAAAGUAAAGCAAGUGGAAAUGGUAGUAGAGCUAGAGGCCAGCUUUAUUCAACCUAUAACAAUAAAAUUAAAACUUUAAGAAAAAAAGGAGUUUUAUCAAGACGCCCCAAACAACAGGUUUCUUCAAUAUCGGGAAAUUCAACUUCAUCAUCACCUUCAUCGCCGUCAUGUUUAUCGGAGUUAGAGAACACUCAAAGCUUAAACGCGAAAGAUUGGCUUAAAUACAAUACACAGCCAUUAGAAUUGGUAUUCAGGUCAGACAUUUUAGAGAAUACCGAAGAUAUUUUUGAAGACUGGCCACUUUUCACCCAAUCUUUUGGACUUCAUUUGAUUGAUUUGGACUUCAUUACUCUUUUUGAUGAAGAAAAGUCUUUAAAUUUAAAGAAAAACUGGGCAAAAUUUCAAACCGCUUUUUUGAAAAGUGCAUUCGAUCAAGCUGGGACCGCAAGUAAG